AUAGCUAAUCUGCCCUACACUAGAGGACAACAGUUGGAAACGACUGCUAAUACUCUAUACUCCUCUUUAACAUAAGUUAGAUAGGGAAAGUUUUUCGGUGUAGGAUGAGGCUAUAUUGUAUCAGCUAGUUGGUGAGGUAAUGGCUCACCAAGGCUAUGACGCAUAACUGGUCUGAGAGGAUGAUCAGUCACACUGGAACUGAGACACGGUCCAGACUCCUACGGGAGGCAGCAGUAGGGAAUAUUGCUCAAUGGGGGAAACCCUGAAGCAGCAACGCCGCGUGGAGGAUGACACUUUUCGGAGCGUAAACUCCUUUUGUUAGGGAAGAACAAUGACGGUACCUAACGAAUAAGCACCGGCUAACUCCGUGCCAGCAGCCGCGGUAAUACGGAGGGUGCAAGCGUUACUCGGAAUCACUGGGCGUAAAGGACGCGUAGGCGGAUUAUCAAGUCUCUUGUGAAAUCCUAUGGCUUAACCAUAGAACUGCUUGGGAAACUGAUAAUCUAGAGUGAGGGAGAGGCAGAUGGAAUUGGUGGUGUAGGGGUAAAAUCCGUAGAGAUCACCAGGAAUACCCAUUGCGAAGGCGAUCUGCUGGAACUCAACUGACGCUAAUGCGUGAAAGCGUGGGGAGCAAACAGGAUUAGAUACCCUGGUAGUCCACGCCCUAAACGAUGUAUACUAGUUGUUGCUAAGCUAGUCUUGGCAGUAAUGCACCUAACGGAUUAAGUAUACCGCCUGGGGAGUACGGUCGCAAGAUUAAAACUCAAAGGAAUAGACGGGGACCCGCACAAGCGGUGGAGCAUGUGGUUUAAUUCGAAGAUACGCGAAGAACCUUACCCGGACUUGAUAUCUAACAAAUCAUCUAGAGAUAGAAGAGUGUCUGCUCGCAGAAAUGUUAAGACAGGUGCUGCACGGCUGUCGUCAGCUCGUGUCGUGAGAUGUUGGGUUAAGUCCCGCAACGAGCGCAACCCACGUCAUUAGUUGCUAACAGUUCGGCUGAGCACUCUAAUGAGACUGCCUUCGUAAGGAGGAGGAAGGUGUGGACGACGUCAAGUCAUCAUGGCCCUUAUGUCCGGGGCGACACACGUGCUACAAUGGCAUAUACAAUGAGAAGCAAUAUCGCGAGAUGGAGCAAAUCUAUAAAAUAUGUCCCAGUUCGGAUUGGAGUCUGCAACUCGACUCCAUGAAGCCGGAAUCGCUAGUAAUCGUA
This 1210-nucleotide ribosomal RNA is filed under the name Campylobacter concisus. RNAcentral describes it as "bacterial SSU rRNA". It matches the Rfam family "Bacterial small subunit ribosomal RNA", at positions 117 to 1346 of the family's 1533-position model. Lineage: Bacteria; Pseudomonadati; Campylobacterota; Epsilonproteobacteria; Campylobacterales; Campylobacteraceae. The record is from RNAcentral.